UCUAUUAGUUUUAUUGACGUGUCUUUCAAUUGCUUGAGCACACCGGAUAUCCCUACAGGUGGAUUAGCUUUCUUUGUACUUCCAAAGGAUUUCUCCCUGUUUCUGGUCUUGCUAUCAAGGCUGUUUGUGUUCUAGCUCCAGCCUCCAGGUUUGAUUUUCGAUAAAAGAAGAAGAGAAGGAUUUAAUUUCAUUUUACUCUUAAGAACACACACUCUGCAGUAGAAAUAAAGAUCUUGAAGAUGGAUAGGCCAUGUUAGAUGAUCUGUCUGGGAUGGCAUUCGUGUCACGGCUGCAUUCCUGAUAUACUAUUGAUGGUUAGGGAACUCAUCCCUUUCUCUUUUGGUGGACAAAUGAUGGUUAGGGAACUCUUCCCGUUCUCUCUUGGUGGACAAUGGAUGGUUAAUAAGGAGCUUCUUCGCUUACUCAUUGUAUACUUUCCAUUGACAUAAUGAGAUAUUACUGCAUAUUCAAAAUUAUAGUCUUAAUUAAAUCACUGGAUAUACUUAUAUGUCGUUGCACGUGUGUGCACUGACAUGCCUUAUCUUUGUACAUCUCUCAACAAAUGCAUUCUGACUUUUGAUUAAUCAUCUGCUUAUAUAAAGGCAAAGAUUUACCACUUUUGCUUAUUUGGAGGGGGUAAAUGGAGAAGUAUGGUAUCAAAAUUUCUAGAUAACUUUAAUCACCAUACUUUUAUGAUUAGUUGUUUAUAUGUUAGGAUUGACAUCAAGACCGGUGUACUGAAAUACUAACUUGCAUAUCGUUGCGAAGAGAUGUUUGGGUCGACCUAAUCUUAAAGUGAUUUUGGUCUGUUAUUUUCCGUAGUUAAUGCUUUUUCCUUCUGUAAAAUCUUAAAUAUAAAGGUUGUAAGCCUAUAAGAUUGAGUUGUCAGAAAACUAAUGAAUUGUGUAACAAUUAUUAGACGCUGAAAGUUAUGCCAUAAGCAUAUAGCUUGUGGAGCCACAAGAUAUAACAUCAAUCAGUGAAGGUUUUUUUUUUUUUUUUUGGACAAUGGCUUAGUGAAAUCUAUUUGUAGGCCAGCCUAGCUUUACAUUUUAUAAUGAAGUAUUUAGAGCUGGAGUUUUGCCUUCUUUUACUAGCUCUGACCUUAUAGAGCGAGGAAAGAGGUCGGAAAUGUCUUUUGCAGAGGGGUCUAAUUAGUAAGCUUCAGAAAUUUCCUUGAGCUUGGCUAAUAUGAAAGGAAAUAACUUAUCUUCUCUUAUGUUGAUUGUAAAUUAGUGUGUGUACUAAUAUAUAUGAUCUUUUCACAUGUUUUGUUCUUGCUCUUGGACUAAGAAAUCUUAACAGGAUAAUGGCACUAGCUUGAGAUAUGACAAUUAGUUCGAUGCAAGAAGAAUGGCCAUUAGGUUAGUCUAUUUCGUGCUUUUCUCAUAUCAUUGUUUUAUAUAUAGUUUAUACUAAUUUUUAAAAGCAUGGAAGAGACAACAUAUAGCAGAUUGCUUUAGUUGAAAUAGUCAAGGUUCUUCAAUGGUUUUAGUUAUGUUGGUUGAUAGUUGGGAAAAACACCAACAAUGAGAUUCAUUUUCAGCCUUCCCUGUGUAAUUUAUUCACAUAAAUAGAGAGAACAAAAGAAAAGUGGAUACUCACGUGUUGUAUAAUAAUUACCCGCCUGUAUUCCCAUAUCUUUCGUAACUACCAGUUCUCCUCUGCUCCUGUCUUUCUUUUAUCAGGUAGUGUUGAACUACAGCUCUGCAUUUGAGCAGAUCUUCAUUUGCUUGUGAAAGGUUCAAAUUCAAACUUUGCAAAAUGUACUCUUGAAUUUAGGCCUAUCUGAAAGGGGAUAAUUGCUCUUCUUCCAUCUCUGGUGUUCAACACAACUUAGUUUUAUUGAUGCAUAAUGUCUCCUGCACGUUCUAUUACUUUCAUUCCUACAGGAGCACAAAAUUGAGGCUUAAUUCCUAACUUUGUUCUCCAUUCAUGUUAACAUAUUUUCUUUCAACUAUAGAUGCAAUUAUGAUGAUGAUGGCUGAGUUCCCUUUUA
Long non-coding RNA from Lycium barbarum (goji berry), 1999 nucleotides. RefSeq lists it as uncharacterized. The record is from RefSeq and is a predicted model, not a curated record. The transcript has 3 exons. Lineage: Eukaryota; Viridiplantae; Streptophyta; Magnoliopsida; Solanales; Solanaceae.